Non-coding RNA from Phrynosoma platyrhinos (Desert horned lizard), 72 nucleotides. Lineage: Eukaryota; Metazoa; Chordata; Lepidosauria; Squamata; Phrynosomatidae. The record is from the annotation of a GenBank genome assembly.
AGGUAUGUGGCGUAAUGGUUUGAAUGUUGGACUAUAAUCCUAGAGACCAGGGUUCAAUUCCCAGCUUGGCCA